GACGAACGCUGGCGGCGUGCCUAAUACAUGUAAGUCGAACGCACUCUCGUUUAGAUUGAAGGAGUUUGCUCCUGAUUGAUAAACAUUUGAGUGAGUGGCGGACGGGUGAGUAACACGUGGGUAACCUGCCCUAAAGUGGGGGAUAACAUUUGGAAACAGAUGCUAAUACCGCAUAAAACCUAACACCGCAUGGUGUAGGGUUGAAAGAUGGUUUCGGCUAUCACUUUAGGAUGGACCCGCGGUGCAUUAGUUAGUUGGUGAGGUAAAGGCUCACCAAGACCGUGAUGCAUAGCCGACCUGAGAGGGUAAUCGGCCACACUGGGACUGAGACACGGCCCAGACUCCUACGGGAGGCAGCAGUAGGGAAUCUUCCACAAUGGACGAAAGUCUGAUGGAGCAACGCCGCGUGAGUGAAGAAGGUUUUCGGAUCGUAAAACUCUGUUGUUGGAGAAGAAUGUAUCUGAUAGUAACUGAUCAGGUAGUGACGGUAUCCAACCAGAAAGCCACGGCUAACUACGUG
This 520-nucleotide ribosomal RNA is filed under the name uncultured bacterium. RNAcentral describes it as "partial 16S ribosomal RNA". It matches the Rfam family "Bacterial small subunit ribosomal RNA", at positions 28 to 507 of the family's 1533-position model. The record is from RNAcentral.